This 459-nucleotide ribosomal RNA is filed under the name uncultured eukaryote. RNAcentral describes it as "bacterial SSU rRNA". It matches the Rfam family "Eukaryotic small subunit ribosomal RNA", at positions 26 to 461 of the family's 1831-position model. The record is from RNAcentral.
AUAUGCUUGUACUAAAAGAUUAAGCCAUGACAAGUGUAAGUAUAAAUAGAACAAAUUAUUGUACUAUGAGACUGACGAAUGGCUCAUUAAAUCAGCAAUCUAUUUAUUCGGUGGAUGAAGUAAUUACUAAAAUGGAAUAACCGUGGGAAAUCUAGAGCUAAUACAUGACAAAAGAGAAUUCUUUAGAAAAAGGAAUGCAUAUAUUAGAUACAAAUACCAAAAAUACAAAGGUGAAUCAUAAUAUUUAUAGCAAAUCAUAUAAGAAGGAGUGAUCUUUUCUUUGAUGAUAAACCGAUCAAAUUUCUGCCCUAUCAUACUUUGGACGGUAAUGUAGUGGAUUACGGUGGUGAUGACGGGUAACGGAGAAUUAGGGUUUGAUUCCGGAGAGGGAGCAUGAGAAAUGGCUACCACUUCCAAGGAAGGCAGCAGGCGCGUAAAUUACCCAAUCCUAAAACAGGG